GUAUAUAAAAAGUUCAAUCAACAUCACAGCUAUAGCUAGGCAACCCAUGAAAAAUAUUCGAACCACUUCCAAUCCAUGUGCCGCUCCUUUCCCUCAUUGUGCUAUGCACCUCGCUAUCACAACCUAUCCUCACGUCGUAGCUCUAAGCUCACUAAUUGUUCCUUAUGCCCUAAGGGCCUGUUUAGAUGCACUAAAAAACUCAAAAGUUUACAAGAUUCUCCGCCACAUCGAAUCUUGCAGCACAUGCAUAGAGCAUUAAAUAUAGAUAAAAAAAUAACUAAUUGUACAAUUUACCUGU
RNAcentral lists this long non-coding RNA (298 nucleotides) under Sorghum bicolor (sorghum). RNAcentral describes it as "long non-coding RNA (SBIC_LNC011344)". Lineage: Eukaryota; Viridiplantae; Streptophyta; Magnoliopsida; Poales; Poaceae. The record is from RNAcentral.